AUUUAUGAAGAUGCUUAUGACAAACUUUCUCCAGAAAAUGAGCCUGAUUUGAAAAAGCGGAUCCGUGUGCACUUGCUCAAUGCCCAUGGCCUGGAUGAAGCUGGCAUUGAUGGUGGUGGUAUUUUCAGAGAGUUUUUAAAUGAACUACUGAAGUCAGGAUUUAACCCCAACCAGGGGUUCUUUAAGACUACUAAUGAAGGGCUUCUGUACCCCAACCCGGCUGCUCAGAUGCUUGUGGGAGAUUCUUUUGCCAGACAUUACUACUUCCUAGGCAGAAUGCUUGGAAAGGUAAAGUAACCUUCAUAUAAAAAUAGACCUCGGACCAAAAGAUGUUGACAUUUUAUGUUUAUGUGUGGUUGUUAUCCAAGUUUACCAUAAAAUACUGUUUGUUUUAAAUUUGGAUGCUAAAUGUUGCAAAAGCACUGCAUGAAACAAACUUGUAUGGUUGUAAGUAGGUGCUAUGGUUUGAAUGUCCCCUCCAAACUCAUGUUGAAACUUGAUCCCCAGUGUGCCAGUAUUGAGAGGUGGAAUCUUUAAGAGGUGAUUAGAUCAUGUGAGCUCGGCCGUCAUGAAUGGAUGAGUGGGUUUAUUGUGGGAAGGGCUCUGGUGACUUUUUACAGGAGGGAGCCCCUAGCCUUGUGAUGCCCUGUGCCGCCUCCAGACUCUGCAGAGUCCCCACCAAUGAGAAAGCCUCACCAGGGGCUGCCUCUGGACCGUGGGCUCCUGGCCUUCCAGCUGUAAGAAAUGGAUUUCAGUUUUUAUUAAUUACUCAGUUUC
RNAcentral lists this small RNA (777 nucleotides) under Pongo abelii (Sumatran orangutan). Its description in RNAcentral is "retained intron". The record is from RNAcentral. Lineage: Eukaryota; Metazoa; Chordata; Mammalia; Primates; Hominidae.